This is a long non-coding RNA of Leopardus geoffroyi (Geoffroy's cat), 736 nucleotides long. RefSeq lists it as uncharacterized. The transcript is spliced from 2 exons. The record is from RefSeq and is a predicted model, not a curated record. NCBI's taxonomy places the organism in Eukaryota, Metazoa, Chordata, Mammalia, Carnivora, Felidae.
GGCACAGAAUAAAGUACUUGGGAUUAAACUUCAUAAAUUACGUAAAAUAAUUGUAGAGUGAAAAUGACCUUUGUUGAUGAAAGACAUGUAAAAAUGCACAAGUCCCUGCAAAUAUAACUGUGCUCACCGAUUAGAAUUCUUCAUAUUGUCACAGCACCAUCUACACAAAGUAAACUACAAGUGCUUCCCUAACCCUGUCGUUCACUUUUAAAGAAUCAAAUCUAAGUCUGGAGUGUGAUAUAUAUGUCAGAGCACAUGCAAAUGGGGCCCUGUCUGUGCUGAUAAAACCAGCCCAUCCCAGACCCUGCAGCUGGGAGAGGAGCCCCAGCCCCAGGAGUUCCAGGUGUUCCCAUUCUGUGAUCAGGACAGAACCCAGACACCUCACCAUGGAGUUUGUGCUUGGCUGGGUGUUCCUGGUUGCUCUUUUAAAAGGUGUCCAGUGUGACGUGCAGCUGGUGGAGUCUGGGGGAGACCUGGUGCAGCCUGGGGGGUCCCUGAGACUCACCUGUGUGGCCUCUGGAUUCACCUUCAGUAGUUCCAGCAUGGGCUGGGUCCGCCAGGCUCCAGGGAAAGGGCUGCAGUGGGUCGCAUAUAUUUAGUACUGAUGAAAGUAGCAUAUACUACGCAGACUCCGUGAAGGGCCGAUUCACCAUCUCCAGAGACAACGCCAAGAACACGGUGUCUCUGCAGAUGAACAACCUCAAGACCGAGGACACGGCCACAUAUUACUGUACGA